Small nuclear RNA from Mastomys coucha (southern multimammate mouse), 145 nucleotides. RefSeq annotates it as U4 spliceosomal RNA. The record is from RefSeq and is a predicted model, not a curated record. The transcript has a single exon. Lineage: Eukaryota; Metazoa; Chordata; Mammalia; Rodentia; Muridae.
AGCUUUGCGCAGUGGCAGUAUCGUAGCCAAUGAAGUUUAUCCGAGGCGCGAUUAUUGCUAAUUGAAAACUUUUCCCAAAAGUCAUUGGUUCACACACAUGAGCACACACUCAUAAACACAAAAUUUUAUACAUGCAUGAAAAUAU